Non-coding RNA from Heterocephalus glaber (naked mole-rat), 768 nucleotides. The record is from RefSeq and is a predicted model, not a curated record. Lineage: Eukaryota; Metazoa; Chordata; Mammalia; Rodentia; Bathyergidae.
UUAAAAGAUUCUAAGUAGCAUACGAGACAAAUAAUAUGGAACAAGGCUAUAGGAAUCUCAUAAUAUCAGAGAUGUGUGAAGAGGAUACAAACUGAUACACAUGCUUUGAGGUUUUAAGUCAUCACCCCCCAAAGUUCUGGUUGUGAAAGAAUGUUGUCAAAGUAUCCUGAGAGAAAUGCAUUACCACUACAAAAAUAGUUACUGAUUUACCAAGUCUACUCUGGUGAAUAAUAACUGUUAAAGAGGAUUAGAGAAAGUAGAAUUUCUGUGUAAGUGACAGAAAUCUCAUUUCUCCUGCUGUAAAUUGUCAUUCUUGGGAACAGGGAAGGUCACUUUUCUCUGGGACCCCCAGAGUCCCACAAGUGAUGGACAACUCAGCUCCAAGGAACCAGAACCCUAGCUCACAUCCUACCACACAGGACCACCGUCCCUGGAGGCUUAGACACACAGGCGGGCAGCUGACACGGUAGACUCGUGUCCAGAUGUGGCCGGGCCCCUGGGUGGACUCUCCUUAUCUUCCCAGCCCGGUGGUCCAGACUCUGCACUUCAUUUCCCCAAGAGAGAACAACUAAAGCAGAAGGAGAAGCUAAAAAGUUAACUCGGAACAGCGGGCUGGGCAGUGAAUCUGGCGGAGGGGAGCUGGAUUCACUGGCCCUCUUUGGCUCCGCCUGGUGAAGAUGCAUGUCGCCUCCUUAUUGGCUUGGGGGGUACUUUGCUUUGGGUUCGCUUUGAGUACUUUUAUUGCUACCUAAAAAGUGUCUAGACUGA